Molecule: long non-coding RNA, 410 nt
Organism: Scophthalmus maximus (turbot)
Lineage: Eukaryota; Metazoa; Chordata; Actinopteri; Pleuronectiformes; Scophthalmidae
Exons: 2
Source: RefSeq, a predicted model, not a curated record
CACAAAGUGCGCCUUUGAUAAUUACAUGCCAAAAUGACUUAAAACUCUGCCGCUAGGCGUACGGCAUUGCAGCCUGAAUGAUAUGCCAACUCACCUUAAGGACUUUUUAACAAGCUGCUUUGAAACAGAAGCGCCCUCGGCUGAGUACUGGUCUCUGAUCACAGAAGAGCUGCGGGAAAUCCGACUCAUCGGAUAACUGGAUAUGGAUCGUAAAAAGACGCUGUUCACUCGGAAUAUCCCAUCCAAAGCAUUCCAGAGGAACUUAACUCACCAGAGGAGGGAGGAGGAGUGGAGAGGUCAAACAAAGUGUCUGCAGAAAACAUGAACAGGUGUCUCCUCGUGUUCACUGGUCAAACGGAAUGUUAAGCUGUAUUCAGUCUAUUUCAAACAUUAAAUUGUGGUGACAGUUA